Molecule: small nuclear RNA, 103 nt
Organism: Trichechus manatus latirostris (Florida manatee)
Lineage: Eukaryota; Metazoa; Chordata; Mammalia; Sirenia; Trichechidae
Source: RefSeq, a predicted model, not a curated record
GUGCUUGCUUCGGCAGCACAUGUACUAAAAUGGGAUGAUAUAGAGAUUAACAGGGCCCCUACACAAGGACGACACACAAAUUCCUGAAGCGUUCCAUAUUUUU